RNAcentral lists this ribosomal RNA (255 nucleotides) under uncultured Lactobacillus sp. RNAcentral describes it as "partial 16S ribosomal RNA". It matches the Rfam family "Bacterial small subunit ribosomal RNA", at positions 107 to 354 of the family's 1533-position model. The record is from RNAcentral. Lineage: Bacteria; Bacillati; Bacillota; Bacilli; Lactobacillales; Lactobacillaceae.
UGAGUAACGCGUGGGUAACCUGCCCUUAAGUCUGGGAUACCAUUUGGAAACAGAUGCUAAUACCGGAUAAAAGCUACUUUCGCAUGAAAGAAGUUUAAAAGGCGGCGUAAGCUGUCGCUAAAGGAUGGACCUGCGAUGCAUUAGCUAGUUGGUAGGGUAACGGCCUACCAAGGCGAUGAUGCAUAGCCGAGUUGAGAGACUGAUCGGCCACAUUGGGACUGAGACACGGCCCAAACUCCUCGGGAGGCAGCAGAG